GCACCUACGUGUAGGUGUCUGACGGUACCGUAAGAAUAAGGACCGGCUAACUCCGUGCCAGCAGCCGCGGUAAUACGGAGGGUCCGAGCGUUAUCCGGAAUCAUUGGGUUUAAAGGGUCCGUAGGCGGGCCUGUAAGUCAGGGGUGAAAGUUUGUGGCUCAACCAUAAAAUUGCCUUUGAUACUGCAGGUCUUGAGUCAUGGUGGGGUUGCCGGAACAUGUGGUGUAGCGGUGAAAUGCAUAGAUAUCACAUAGAACACCGAUCGCGAAGGCAGGUGACCAACCAUGUACUGACGCUGAUGGACGAAAGCGUGGGUAGCGAACGGGAUUAGAUACCCCGGUAGUCCACGCCGUAAACGAUGGAUACUAGCUGUGGGGACUUUGUCUCCGUGGCCAAGCGAAAGUGAUAAGUAUCCCACCUGGGGAGUACGUUCGCAAGAAUGAAACUCAAAGGAAUUGACGGGGGCCCGCACAAGCGGUGGAGCAUGUGGUUUAAUUCGAUGAUACGCGAGGAACCUUACCAGGGCUUAAAUGUAAGUUGCAUUAGUUGGAGACAGCUAUUUCUUCGGACCACUUACAAGGUGCUGCAUGGUUGUCGUCAGCUCGUGCCGUGAGGUGUCAGGUUAAGUCCUAUAACGAGCGCAACCCCUACCGUUAGUUGCCAGCAUGUCAAGAUGGGGACUCUAACGGGACUGCCGGUGCAAACCGUGAGGAAGGUGGGGACGACGUCAAAUCAUCACGGCCCUUACGUCCUGGGCUACACACGUGCUACAAUGGCCGGUACAGAGGGAAGCCACCCCGCAAGGGGGCGCGGAUCUAUAAAACCGGUCACAGUUCGGAUCGGGGUCUGCAACUCGACCCCGUGAAGCUGGAAUCGCUAGUAAUCGGAUAUCAGCCAUGAUCCGGUGAAUACGUUCCCGGGCCUUGUACACACCGCCCGUCAAGCCAUGGAAGCCGGGAGUGCCUGAAGUCCGUCACCGCAAGGAGCGGCCUAGGGCAAAAUCGGUAACUAGGGCUAAGUCGUAACAAGGUAGCCGUACCGGAAGGUGCGGCUGGAACACCUCCUUUCU
This 1069-nucleotide ribosomal RNA is filed under the name Flagellimonas zhangzhouensis. Its description in RNAcentral is "bacterial SSU rRNA". It matches the Rfam family "Bacterial small subunit ribosomal RNA", at positions 452 to 1533 of the family's 1533-position model. The record is from RNAcentral. Lineage: Bacteria; Pseudomonadati; Bacteroidota; Flavobacteriia; Flavobacteriales; Flavobacteriaceae.